CCUACGGGUGGCUGCAGUGGGGAAUAUUGCACAAUGGGCGCAAGCCUGAUGCAGCCAUGCCGCGUGUGUGAAGAAGGCCUUCGGGUUGUAAAGCACUUUCAGCGGGGAGGAAGGCGGGGAGGUUAAUAACCUCAUCGAUUGACGUUACCCGCAGGAGAAGCACCGGCUAACUCCGUGCCAGCAGCCGCGGUAAUACGGAGGGUGCAAGCGUUAAUCGGAAUUACUGGGCGUAAAGCGCACGCAGGCGGUCUGUCAAGUCGGAUGUGAAAUCCCCGGGCUCAACCUGGGAACUGCAUUCGAAACUGGCAGGCUAGAGUCUUGUAGAGGGGGGUAGAAUUCCAGGUGUAGCGGUGAAAUGCGUAGAGAUCUGGAGGAAUACCGGUGGCGAAGGCGGCCCCCUGGACAAAGACUGACGCUCAGGUGCGAAAGCGUGGGGAGCAAACAGGAUUAGAUACCCCGGUAGUC
RNAcentral lists this ribosomal RNA (465 nucleotides) under uncultured Klebsiella sp. RNAcentral's name for it is "bacterial SSU rRNA". It matches the Rfam family "Bacterial small subunit ribosomal RNA", at positions 338 to 795 of the family's 1533-position model. The record is from RNAcentral. Lineage: Bacteria; Pseudomonadati; Pseudomonadota; Gammaproteobacteria; Enterobacterales; Enterobacteriaceae.